RNAcentral lists this ribosomal RNA (945 nucleotides) under uncultured organism. Its description in RNAcentral is "bacterial SSU rRNA". It matches the Rfam family "Bacterial small subunit ribosomal RNA", at positions 469 to 1411 of the family's 1533-position model. The record is from RNAcentral.
UUGACGGUACCCUACUAGAAAGGAGCCGCUAACUUCGUGCCAGAAGCGUCGGUAAUACGGGGGCUCCAAGCGUUAUCCGGUGUUAUUGGGCGUAAAGAGUCGUGUAGGUGGUUGGGUAAGUUAUCUUUCAAAUAUCUUUGCUUAACAAAGAGGAGGGGGAUAAUACUGCUCGACUAGAAUUUUCUCAAGGGAGAUCGGAACUGAGGGAGGAGUAGUGAAAUGCGUUGAUACCCUCGGGAACACCAGUGGCGUAGGCGGAUCUCUGGGAGAAGAUUGACACUGAGACACGAAAGCUAGGGGAGCGAAGCAGAUUAGAGACCUGCGUAGUCCUAGCCGUAAACGCAUGCUUGCUAGCUGCAUGAAUCUACCUUCGGGUGGUAUCGUGUGGCGAAGGUAACCCGUUAAGCAAGCCGUCUGGAAAGUACGGCCGCAAGGCUGAAAUUCAAAGGAAUUGGCGGGGAGGCACACAACCAGUGGAACAUGUGGUUUAAUUCGAGACUAACCGAAGAACCUCACCAGGGUUUGACAUGUAGCUGCACGUCUUAAGAAAUUAAGACUCUCUUGAAGGUGCUACACAGGUGCUGCAUGGCCGUCGUCAGCUCGUUCCGUGAGGAGUGCCCUUAAGUGGGACAACGAGCGCAACCCCUAUUACAUGUUAGAAAUGUCAUGUAAGACUGCCUUGCCAUUUGGCGGGGAGGAAGGAGGGGCAGACGUCAAGUCCGCAUGGUCCUUAUGCCCUGGGCUACACACAUGUUACAAUGAGUACGGCAAUGAGUCUGUCGCGAGCACGUAAGUGUAAGCUAAUCUCUUAAAUGUACUCUCAGUGGGGAUUGAGGUCUGCAACUCGACCUCAUGNACACGGAAUUGGUAGUAAUCGCGGGUCAGCUAUACCGCGGUGAAUACGUUCUUGCCUCUUGCACACACCGCCCGUCAAACCAGCAAAGU